CCUACGGGUGGCAGCAGUGGGGAAUAUUGCGCAAUGGGCGAAAGCCUGACGCAGCGAAGCCGCGUGAGGGAUGAAGGUCUUCGGAAUGUAAACCUCUGUCAGCAGGGAAGAACGGUCACUGUGCUAAUCAGCAGUGAAUUGACGGUACCUGCAAAGGAAGCACAGGCUAACUCCGUGCCAGCAGCCGCGGUAAUACGGCGGGUGCGAGCGUUAAUUGGUAUUACUGGGCGUAAAGCGCUCGUAGGCGGUAUGUCAAGUCAAGGGUGAAAUCCCCGCGCUCAACGUGGGAACUGCCUUUGAAACUGGCGAACUGGAGUGAGGGAGAGGAUAGUGGAAUUCCUGGUGUAGGGGUGAAAUCCGUAGAUAUCUGGAGGAACAUCGAUGGCGAAGGCGACUAUCUGGCACAUAACUGACGCUGAGGAGCGAAAGCGUGGGUAGCAAACAGGAUUAGAUACCCCUGUAGUC
RNAcentral lists this ribosomal RNA (465 nucleotides) under uncultured bacterium. RNAcentral's name for it is "partial 16S ribosomal RNA". It matches the Rfam family "Bacterial small subunit ribosomal RNA", at positions 338 to 795 of the family's 1533-position model. The record is from RNAcentral.